Molecule: ribosomal RNA, 543 nt
Filed under: Triticum aestivum (bread wheat)
Lineage: Eukaryota; Viridiplantae; Streptophyta; Magnoliopsida; Poales; Poaceae
Description: partial small subunit ribosomal RNA
Source: RNAcentral
GGAGCAGUAGCUGCGAUUUGUCAAGACCACUCUGGAGCUUACUUGGGGUCGUCCGCGGUGGUGUUUCGAGGAGUAAAUGAUAUGGUGAUCCUGGAAUCUUAUGCAUGUAGGGAGGGGCUUGCACUUGCAGAGGACCUGGAUAUUCAGCAACUACUGAUAGCAUCAGACUGCCAGAAUGUAGUCAAGGACAUAAAUCAGGGCACGGGAGGACCACAUUCGGCAAUUGUUCAUGAAAUAGUAGCUCGUAGAACUAGCUUCAGUUUCUGUAAUUUCGUUCAUGAGCAUAGGAGUCAUAAUUUUGAGACUCACAAUCUCGCCAAGUUUGCUUGUAACCUUGGCUUAGAUAGACAUGUUUGGUUGGGGGUUCCUCAUGACCCAAACCGUGUACCUAUGAACAUUUUUGAGCAUCAAUACAGACACAAGCGCUCAUAUACACGCGCAUACACUCACCCCUAUGAACGCACACACGCACACCCUACCCUUAUGAGCACCUCCGAGAGACUGAGCCGGCAUAUCAUCUUGAGAUUUACGAAGUCACCGUAG